This 106-nucleotide small nucleolar RNA is filed under the name Gossypium arboreum. RNAcentral describes it as "Plant small nucleolar RNA R71". It matches the Rfam family "Plant small nucleolar RNA R71". Rfam says of the family: R71 is a member of the C/D box family of snoRNAs containing the C (UGAUGA) and D (CUGA) box motifs. Multiple nearly identical copies of this snoRNA have been identified in Arabidopsis, and it is thought to function as a 2'-O-ribose methylation guide for 18S ribosomal RNA. The record is from Rfam by way of RNAcentral. Lineage: Eukaryota; Viridiplantae; Streptophyta; Magnoliopsida; Malvales; Malvaceae.
AACCCAUUGGGAGGGCACCUUCUCAAUAAGUCCUUGUAUCUCUCCCAUACAUCGUAAAGUGUUUCUAAAUCCAUCUGCACAAAAAAAGAGAUAUCAUUAUGUAAUU